RNAcentral lists this ribosomal RNA (407 nucleotides) under uncultured bacterium. RNAcentral describes it as "bacterial SSU rRNA". It matches the Rfam family "Bacterial small subunit ribosomal RNA", at positions 32 to 419 of the family's 1533-position model. The record is from RNAcentral.
AAUCAACGCUGGCGGCGUGCCUCAGACAUGCAAGUCGAACGCGAAAGUCCCCUUCGGGGGACAAGUAGAGUGGCGCACGGGUGAGUAACACGUAGGUAAUCUACCUUCGGAUGGGGAAUAACAACCGGAAACGGUUGCUAAUACCGCAUAAUGCAGCGGCACCUAAUGGUGACAGUUGUUAAAGCGGGGGAUCGUAAGACCUCGCGUCUGAAGAGGAGCCUGCGGCGGAUUAGCUAGUUGGAAGGUAAUGGCUUACCAAGGCGACGAUCCGUAACCGGCCUGAGAGGGCGGUCGGUCACACUGACACUGACAUACGGGUCAGACUCCUACGGGAGGCAGCAGUCGGGAAUUUUGGGCAAUGGGCGAAAGCCUGACCCAGCAACGCCGCGUGAAGGAUGAAAUCCCUC